GCCGCGUUGGCCUAAUGGUAGGGCGUCGCUUUCCUACUACGUUUAUUGCGUAAUAAUGAGGCGAAGCUUAUGGGUUCGAUCCCCAUACGCGGUA
Molecule: non-coding RNA, 94 nt
Organism: Gautieria morchelliformis
Lineage: Eukaryota; Fungi; Basidiomycota; Agaricomycetes; Gomphales; Gomphaceae
Source: the annotation of a GenBank genome assembly